Molecule: transfer RNA, 51 nt
Filed under: Ursus arctos (brown bear)
Lineage: Eukaryota; Metazoa; Chordata; Mammalia; Carnivora; Ursidae
Description: partial tRNA-Glu
Source: RNAcentral
GUUCUUGUAGUUGAAGUACAACGGUGAUUUUUCAUGUCACUAGUCAUGGUU